GACGAACGCUGGCGGCGCGCUUAACACAUGCAAGUCGAACGGAAAGGCCUGCUUUCCCUUGUGGAUUGCGGGUACUCGAGUGGCGAACGGGUGAGUAACACGUGAGUGAUCUGCCCCCAACUUGGGUAUAAGCCUGGGAAACUGGGUCUAAUUCCCGAUAGGACUGCAGGGUGGUGCCUGUGGUGGAAAACGAUUUUCUAGUGGUUGGGGAUGAGCUCGCGGCCUAUCAGCUUGUUGGUGGGGUAAUGGCCUACCAAGGCGGCGACGGGUAGCCGGACUGAGAGGGUGGACGGCCACAUUGGGACUGGGAUACGGCCCAGACUCCUACGGGAGGCAGCAGUGGGGAAGAUUGCACAAGGGGCGGAAGCCUGAUGCAGCGACGCCGCGUGGGGGAUGACGGCCUUCGGGUUGUAAACUCCUUUCGACCGCGAGGAAGCCACCUGGUUGGAAGGGUGGUGACGGUAGUGGUAGAAGAAGCACCGGCUAACUACGUG
Molecule: ribosomal RNA, 494 nt
Filed under: uncultured bacterium
Lineage: Bacteria
Description: partial 16S ribosomal RNA
Rfam family: Bacterial small subunit ribosomal RNA
Source: RNAcentral